This 463-nucleotide ribosomal RNA is filed under the name uncultured bacterium. RNAcentral's name for it is "partial 16S ribosomal RNA". It matches the Rfam family "Bacterial small subunit ribosomal RNA", at positions 28 to 507 of the family's 1533-position model. The record is from RNAcentral.
GACGAACGCUGGCGGCGUGCUUAACACAUGCAAGUCGAACGGAAAGGCCUUUUCGGAGGUACUCGAGUGGCGAACGGGUGAGUAACACGUGGGUGAUCUGCCCUGCACUCUGGGAUAAGCCUGGGAAACUGGGUCUAAUACCGGAUAGGACCGCACUUUAGUGUGUGUGGUGGAAAGUUUUUUCGGUGUAGGAUGAGCCCGCGGCCUAUCAGCUUGUUGGUGGGGUAAUGGCCUACCAAGGCGGCGACGGGUAGCCGGACUGAGAGGUUGGUCGGCCACAUUGGGACUGAGAGACGGCCCAGACUCCUACGGGAGGCAGCAGGGGGGAAUAUUGCACAAUGGGCGCAAGCCUGAUGCAGCGACGCCGCGUGGGGGAUGACGGCCUUCGGGUUGUAAACUCCUUUCGCCAGGGACGAAGCGUUUUGUGACGGUACCUGGAGAAGAAGCACCGGCUAACUACGUG